AUUUUGUGUCUAUAUAGAUUAUAUUGUUAGAUCA
RNAcentral lists this transfer RNA (34 nucleotides) under Arostrilepis beringiensis. RNAcentral describes it as "partial tRNA-Asn". The record is from RNAcentral. Lineage: Eukaryota; Metazoa; Platyhelminthes; Cestoda; Cyclophyllidea; Hymenolepididae.